Molecule: ribosomal RNA, 350 nt
Filed under: Phthiacnemia picta
Lineage: Eukaryota; Metazoa; Arthropoda; Insecta; Hemiptera; Coreidae
Description: SSU rRNA
Rfam family: Eukaryotic small subunit ribosomal RNA
Source: RNAcentral
CUUAAAGCAGGCUCUUAAAUCAGCCUGAAUAGUGGUGCAUGGAAUAAUGGAAAAGGACCUUGGUUCUAUUUUGUUGGUUUCCGGAAUCCAAGGUAAUGAUCAAUAAGGACAGGCGGGGGCAUUCGUAUUGCGACGUUAGAGGUGAAAUUCUUGGAUCGUCGCAAGACGCACUAGAGCGAAAGCAUUUGCCAAGUAUGUCUUAAUUGAUCAAGAACGAAAGUUAGAGGCGCGAAGGCGAUCAGAUACCGCCCUAGUUCUAACCAUAAACGAUGCCAGCCAGCGAUCCGCCGACGUUCCUCCGAUGACUCGGCGGGGAGCUUUCCCCGGGAAACCAAAAGCUUUUGGGUUCC